Molecule: long non-coding RNA, 5395 nt
Organism: Monodelphis domestica (gray short-tailed opossum)
Lineage: Eukaryota; Metazoa; Chordata; Mammalia; Didelphimorphia; Didelphidae
Source: RefSeq, a predicted model, not a curated record
CAUAAUGGAUAUGACUAGGCCAAAGCACAGAUACACAAGGAACUGUGGAAGUACUAUGACUAGAGAAAAAUAUCUCCUUUGCCAAUAAAAAAAUUUCAUGACCAUAGAUAUGAGUAGCUCAAAGCACAUAGUACAUGAAGCUUGGGAUAUACUCCCAGGUCCAGACAAAAAUACCCCCUUUGGCAAUGAAUUGAUUUCAGCACCAUGGACAGCCACAUUUGCUCCCCUAUCCUACAAGUUUUGCUAAAUCUCUUCUGUAGCUUUCACAUCUGUUUUGUUGUUAUGUGUCUUAGCUAAUGGGUUGAUAACUGUCCUCCCACACUUAUCUUUUCUACUACACCCAUGAUAUAAUAGAAAGAUAAUUCCUCAGGCUUUUUUCUGUUAAAGUGAUACUUUGCUUGGGUGCAAAAGAAGGAAGGACAAUGGAAUCACAGAAUUUGAGGUCGAAAAUAUCUUAGUGCUUUAGUGACUAUCCUGUCCUACUCAGGCCCUAAAGAAAUUCCCAUGAUAAUCAUAUCAUCUUAGAGUUGCAAAGGACCUCAGAGGACACUGAGUGCAAAUGAUAGUGUUUUGCAAACUUUAAAGUGUUACAUAAAUGUUAUCUGUCCAGUAUUCAAUGGGAAUACAGAUUUGUUAGGAUUAAGUGUUGUUAAUCCUUCAAUUAUCCAGAUACAACCUCUUAAAAGAACUGAACAACAGGAUUUAGCAAAUACUUUACCUUCACCUCCUCUUCAGUUUCUUGUGCAGAGACCUCUGCCCCCUCUUGGACCAGUUUCUGUGGAGAAGUUUUUGGCACAUAAAAUGCAAAAUGGACAGAGAUCUACAUUUAUUCCUUUGUCUGUCUUGAACACUUCAGCAAUUACAUCUUCAGCAGUUACAUCCAAUUCAGCAAAUUUACUUAUUUCCACACCUGAGAGUGAGCGCACUGAGAAGCUCAAAAAAUCUUUAAAAGUGAAAACCCGAUCAGGGCGGAUUUCACGGCCACCAAAAUAUAAAGCUAAAGAUUACAAGUUCAUUAAAACUCAGGAUUUAGCUGAUGGGCACCAGUCAGAUUCUGAUGACUAUUCAGAACUUAAUGUGGAAGAGGAAGAUGACAAGAGAAUCUCCUAGAAUACCUCUGGUAAUGGGACGAUCUCCCAAAGUAUCACAUUCCAUUUUUGGACAGCUAUAAUUGAUUUUCCUCCUUUUGUGCUGCCAAACUCUCUUCUUGAACACGAAUCACUUCUACAAUAUCUUUAGUAAAUAGCCAUCUGAGUCUUAGAUAGAAAGUUUAUCAUGAAAAGUGAUCAAGGAUUUCCAUAGUAUUUUUCCUCACUCAAAGCAGGCAAAGCCCACAGAGAAAAACAAAAAUCUGGAAUACUUGUUAUUUUACUUUCUUUUUUUCCACUUCAUUCCCUAAUUGAUUAUGAUAAUUUGAUAGGAUAGCUAAGGAAGGUGACAAUUACUGGAGAUAGAAACUAUUUCCAUGAAUGGAAAAAAUAUGUAUGUCACAUUCAUGAUUUGCUGAUUUUAUUUUCAGUUUGAGUUUUAUGUAGUUAAUAUCCCAGGACACAAAAGUGAACAACAUAUCACCACCUCUGACAAGUCUCUUUAGAAGAAGGGAAGAGUGAGGAUAUUUUUUUUUCUUAGAGAAGCAGGAAAAAAUUCACUUAAAUGAAAGUCAUGUGAUCUGGAUUGAAUUCUGUCUGUUAUUUGUGUAUGUGAUUUUUGCAAAGUAAUUUAAAGUUUUUAAAUCACAGUAUCUUCAUGAAUAAAAAAGGAAAAAUAUUCAUUCUCCCUAACUCCAUGAGUUGAUUUGAAGACAAAUUGACAUAAUGUGCAUAUAGCUAUAAAUUACUAUAUAAACUUCUAUCUUUUGUGAAGAAAUGAUGAAAUAGGAUGGAUUUAAUCACAGCACCACAGAGUUGAGGGCACCUCCAGGGUCACGGAGUCCAAUCUGUUCCAGAAUAGGAGUCCCCAUUAGAGACCUCCCUUUAGGUCAACUCAUUAAUUACUACUUUUAGUAUAACACCUCUUCAGUUUUUCCAAAGGUCACUGCCAGUAGUCAAACAAUCACAUAUACUUUUGUAUAUGUGUAUGUAUGUGUGUAUAUAGUUUGAUUUUUAUGAUUAUCUUAAGAUAUAGUUCAUUCAUGCUUGGUUACUUGAUCUUAUUGAGGGAAGUUCGCUGCUUCCUUACCAUAUCCCAAUUUAUUGAUCUAAGAGACAGACAGGUUGUAUAGUGGAGAGAUCACUGGAUGUCAAGUCAGGAAGAUGUGAGUUCAAAUGUGACUUAUUAUAUUUACUAGCUGUGUGUUACUCAGCAAGUUAUUUAACUACUAAUUGCUUAAAGUUUGCCAUUUGUAAAAUUCAUAUAAUAAUAACAUCUAAUCCUAGGAUCUUUGAGAGAAUCAAAUGUGAAAAUAUUUGUUAUGUCCUUUAAAAAAAAAAACCCUUACCUUCCAUCUUGGAAUCAAUACUGUAUAUUUCUUCCAAGGAAGAAGAGUGGUAAGGGCCAGGCAAUGGGGGUUAAGUGACUUGCCCAGGGUCACACAGUUGGGAAGUGUCUGAGGUCAGAUGUGAACCAAGGACCUCCCAUCUCUAGGCCUGGCUCUCAAUCCACUGAGCUACCCAGUUGCCCCCUGUACAGUCCUUUUUAAACCUCAAAGCACUACAUAAAUCUUGUCUGAUAGUAUUAUCUUAUAUUUCCUGUAUCUGUUAAAACAUGUUUAUUUUAUCCUCUACUUAGAAAUCAUUUGAUUAUCAAUAUAAAGAGUAAUCAAAUAAGAAUUGGGUAUUUCUUCCAUCUCUCCAUGGUCUGUUAUCAUUAUCCAAUCCAUCCUGUGAAGCAACCUUUCAUUUCUUUGAGAUUCCUUUUGUUUCAUAAUUUAAUGAUAAAAUCAAACAUUUUGUUCUCCUAAACUUUAAUUAAUCUUUGGUUACUUAAGUUGAUCACAACAGUUCUUCUAAAAUGAUGCCAUGCUUUCCUAUUCAUUAAUUGUGCUUGCUUUCUUCCAUCUUCUUUACAUUUCAUUAAAUAAUAUUCAAGUUGGUUAAUGAAUUUCCCGUGUUCCCAUUCAGUUAAUUCUAUUUAGAUAACUCAUCAUUUUUCAUUCUCCUUGGAAUCUUUGUGUUUGUGAUGUUGGUUAAGACAUUCUAGAGUAGACCAGUUUUGAACUGUAUCUUGAAGAAAAUAUUUUUAAAAUCACCAAUUUCAUACUUUAUUUUAGCAUGUUAAGUUUUUUUUUUCUCAGUAGUUUCCCAAAGAGUGAUGAAGAUAGGAAGUAUCACCUGUCUUAACUAAAAGCUGACAGGAAUAGCAUAAUGAAUAAUCUUUACUCCAUGUUACAUGGUUGAGAUGUUAUAAAACUGACAUUAAGAAAGCUUUCAUAGGUGUUUAGAAUAAACCUUCAUGAUAAAAACUCAUCAUUGGACUCUUACUUAUGACUCCUCUCAUUGUCCUUCUUGAGUUUUAAUUAUAAUGCAUAGAUUUUUGAUUUUUCUCCUUUAAUAUAUAGGUUUCAAGUUGUCAUAAAUUCUCCCUUUUAGGUAACCACAGCAUUCUGUAGUGCUCACAAAAUGAACCCUCUCACAUGUUGAGGUAACCUGGCUGAGAAUCUCAAGCUCCUCAUUGGUAUGAGGACAUAAUCAACAAUUAAUAUCCACUCUCUUGCCCUCAGAGAUGCUGGAUUUCCUAAGGAUAAUUGAUAAAAUUUGUUACCAAAGUGAUAAGGAGAGUGCUGGUGCCAUCCUGAGUUCAACUCAUAUUUUAAAAUUAUCCCCAAAUGGUAAUGAGCUACCUUGAUAAAUAGUGGGUUCCUACUCAUUAGAAGUAUUCAUUAAGAGUUUGGAAUAGGAGUGUCAAAAUGUGUAGCCCACUGCUGCAUUGUGGCCCAGAAUGCUCUAGCAUAUAGUCUAAACAGGAUUAAAUUGUAAUUGAGAAAUAUUUAAAAAAAUAAAUAAAAAUUAUAAUAGAACAAAGAACAUGUUAAUAUGUGGCUUUCUAAGUAAAUACAUGAUUAGCAGGGAUCCUUUUGCAUGGUACAAGUGCCCCCAUUUCUAUUUGAGUUUGAUACCACUCAUUUAGUGUGCUGUAAUAGGGAUCCUUUAUGGUUAAGAGUUGGAAGAGAUGACUGCUGAGGUUCUUUCUGACUUUAUAAUACUGUGACUCCCUUGUGAAUUUGCAGAGAACUUGAGUCUCUGAAACCAUCAAAACAAGAAGCUUUGAUAAGUAUUAAAUAUGCUUGAGAGAAGGAAAAUCAAAUUGUAUUCUUCCAAGGCCUCACCAUAGAAUAAGCUUUUGCACCGGAGUUUGCCAAGGUUUAACACUGGAGGUGGAGCAAGGAAGGGCAAAUGCCAUUACAUAUGGAAAAGAAAAGGAUUUGAUGGAUGGUGAAGGUCCAUUUAGCAAGUCAAGAAAAAUGUGCCAUUGCCCUGUUUUACCUGAGCAGAGCACAAGGAAAUAGCACGUAAGUGAUGCAUGGCAUUUAAUGAGUCAGGACUGAAAACUUUAAUUAGCUUGUAGGCUUUUUAUUAUUAUUAUUUUUUGUUCAUUAUAGUUUCUCCUCAGUCUCUAUGGAUGUUCUGCAUUUUCAUCAUCAAAUGACUGGCUGGCUAUUUUUGUCAAACAAGAAGCCUGAAACGAUCAAGUCUGAGAGCUGAGACUGUCUGCCCAUUCUGUCAACAGGAUGAAAGUUAUUUUCAACUUUAAUUCUUUGAAACUGCAGUUCCAUGAUUUGAAGCUAUACAGUGUCAUCAAAAAUGGUUUUGGUAAAGAUAUAAUAAGGAAAAAGACUUGUACAAAAAUAUUUAUAGCUGCACUCCUUGUGGUGGCAAAAAAUUGGAAAAAUGAGGGGAUGCCCUUCAAUUGGGGAAUGGCUGAACAAAUUGUGGUAUAUGUUGGUGAUGGAAUACUAUUGUGCUAAAAGGAAUAAUAAACUGGAGGCAUUCCAUGGGGACUGGAACAACCUCCAGGAAGUGAUACAGAAUGAGAGGAGCAAAACCAGGAGAACAUUAUACCCAGAGACUGAUACACUGUGGCACAAUCAAAUAUAAUAGACUUCUCUAUUAGCAGCAAUGCAAUGAUUCAGGAAAAUUCUGAGGGACUUAUGAGAAAGAAUGCUAUCCACACCCAGAGAAAGAACUGUGGAAGUAGAAACACAGAAGAAACACAAUUGCUUGAUCACAUGGUUUGAUGGGGAUAUGAUUGGGGAUAUAGACUCUAAAUGAUCACCCUAGUACAAAUAUUAAUAAUAUGGAAAUAGAUCUUGAUCAAUGACACAUGUAAAACCCAGUGGAACUGCUCAUUGGCUCUGGGAGGGGGAUGGUGUGAGGGGAAAGAAAGAACAUGUAUCAUGUAGCCAUGGAAAAAUAUUCUAAAUUAAUUAAUUAAAUAAAUGAAUUUUAAUAAAACCAUA